Molecule: ribosomal RNA, 253 nt
Filed under: uncultured bacterium
Lineage: Bacteria
Description: partial 16S ribosomal RNA
Rfam family: Bacterial small subunit ribosomal RNA
Source: RNAcentral
UACGUAGGGGGCAAGCGUUGUCCGGAAUCAUUGGGCGUAAAGCGCGUGUAGGCGGCCCGAUAAGUCCGCUGUGAAAGUCCAGGGCUCAACCCUGGAAUGCCGGUGGAUACUGUCGGGCUCGAGUCCGGAAGAGGCGAGUGGAAUUCCUGGUGUAGCGGUGAAAUGCGCAGAUAUCAGGAGGAACACCGAUGGCGAAGGCAGCUCGCUGGGACGGUACUGACGCUGAGGCGCGAAAGCCAGGGGAGCGAAUGGG